RNAcentral lists this long non-coding RNA (784 nucleotides) under Nicotiana benthamiana. RNAcentral's name for it is "long non-coding RNA (NBEN_LNC016745)". Lineage: Eukaryota; Viridiplantae; Streptophyta; Magnoliopsida; Solanales; Solanaceae. The record is from RNAcentral.
ACGAAUCCAACCCACCAGGUCAUAUCUCCAUAUAGCCUCGAAGCAAUGCACGAUCCUAUCCCAACAUCGCUCCACAUGAGACAAUAUGUUGUUCUCGAAUAAGCUCUUUGAAAGAUAACUGAAUGCGUUUAGUCCCUUGGGGAAGGGUCUGCGCCCAGGGGCUCUUUUUAGCACUUUUGAGGAAGUGAAGACGAAUAGUCGACUUUGUUGCCUGCUUGACUGCUUUCAUCUCCUGAUGUCAGAAAAGGUGUUCUAUCUCAUUCUUUUAGCUGCAAGGGAACCGUCAGGUUGUAGUGGUUGAAGUAGAGCCAAGCAGCGAUGGACUAAGCGAGUCAAAUAACGCUGGUGCGAACCAUGUUGGAUGACGGGUGAGGGUGAGAAAGAAGUCCUGCUCUACUGCCCUGUGUUAAGCAAAGUGAGUUUACUUCGUUUCAGGCCAUCUUAUUCAGUCUCAUGGAACUAAACUCUUAGAUGCAGCAUGCAGCCGCCUCCAUCCAUCGGCACAUCCGCCCCAGAUGCACGCUUAGCCGCAUUGUUCAUCUUGAAAGGGAGCCGCGAGGUGCUGUCAUGUCAAGCCCAAGGUUCGUUCUACUGCUGUAAAAUUUCUGCCAUUUACACGUCUUGGUGGGGGGUCUUCUUGCAACGAUCUUCGUUUCUUCAGGAAUGGUGCCGGUCAAUUGGUGUAUAGGACUCAUUAUGCUCGAAAUUGACAACCACACACAAUUUGAUGUCUGAAACCAAAGCGAAUCAUUACACCCUCAGUGAAACAAAUACCAUAUAACAC